ACCCAGGUAUUGCUUAGUAGCGGCGAGUGAAGCGGCAAAAGCUCAAAUUUGAAAUCUGGCACUUUCAGUGUCCGAGUUGUAAUUUGAAGAAGGUAUCUUUGGGUCUGGCUCUUGUCUAUGUUUCUUGGAACAGAACGUCACAGAGGGUGAGAAUCCCGUGCGAUGAGAUGACCCAGACCUAUGUAAAGUUCCUUCGAAGAGUCGAGUUGUUUGGGAAUGCAGCUCUAAGUGGGUGGUAAAUUCCAUCUAAAGCUAAAUAUUGGCGAGAGACCGAUAGCGAACAAGUACAGUGAUGGAAAGAUGAAAAGAACUUUGAAAAGAGAGUGAAAAAGUACGUGAAAUUGUUGAAAGGGAAGGGCUUGAGAUCAGACUUGGUAUUUUGUAUGUUACUCUCUCGGGGGUGGCCUCUACAGUUUACCGGGCCAGCAUCAGUUUGGGCGGUAGGAGAAUUGCAAAGAAAUGUGGCACUGCCUCGGUAGUGUGUUAUAGUCUUUGUCGAUACUGCCAGCCUAGACUGAGGACUGCGGCUUCGGCCUAGGAUGUUGGCAUAAUGAUCUUAAGUCGCCCGUCUUGAAACACGGACMA
RNAcentral lists this ribosomal RNA (585 nucleotides) under Lodderomyces parapsilosis. Its description in RNAcentral is "LSU rRNA". It matches the Rfam family "Eukaryotic large subunit ribosomal RNA", at positions 64 to 668 of the family's 3401-position model. Lineage: Eukaryota; Fungi; Ascomycota; Pichiomycetes; Serinales; Debaryomycetaceae. The record is from RNAcentral.